This 207-nucleotide ribosomal RNA is filed under the name uncultured bacterium. Its description in RNAcentral is "partial 16S ribosomal RNA". It matches the Rfam family "Bacterial small subunit ribosomal RNA", at positions 568 to 774 of the family's 1533-position model. The record is from RNAcentral.
CUCGUAGGCGGUUCGUCACGUCCGGUGUGAAAGUCCAUCGCCUAACGGUGGAUCUGCGCCGGGUACGGGCGGGCUGGAGUGCGGUAGGGGAGACUGGAAUUCCCGGUGUAACGGUGGAAUGUGUAGAUAUCGGGAAGAACACCAAUGGCGAAGGCAGGUCUCUGGGCCGUUACUGACGCUGAGGAGCGAAAGCGUGGGGAGCGAACA